This 383-nucleotide RNase P RNA is filed under the name Klebsiella quasipneumoniae. RNAcentral describes it as "RNase P RNA component class A". It matches the Rfam family "Bacterial RNase P class A". Rfam says of the family: Ribonuclease P (RNase P) is a ubiquitous endoribonuclease, found in archaea, bacteria and eukarya as well as chloroplasts and mitochondria. Its best characterised activity is the generation of mature 5'-ends of tRNAs by cleaving the 5'-leader elements of precursor-tRNAs. The record is from RNAcentral. Lineage: Bacteria; Pseudomonadati; Pseudomonadota; Gammaproteobacteria; Enterobacterales; Enterobacteriaceae.
GAAGCUGACCAGACAGUCGCCGCUUCGUCGUCGUCCUCCUUCGGGGGGAGACGGGCGGAGGGGAGGAAAGUCCGGGCUCCAUAGGGCAAGGUGCCAGGUAACGCCUGGGGGGUGUCACAGCCCACGACCAGUGCAACAGAGAGCAAACCGCCGAUGGCCCGCGGAAGCGGGAUCAGGUAAGGGUGAAAGGGUGCGGUAAGAGCGCACCGCGCGGCUGGUAACAGUCCGUGGCACGGUAAACUCCACCCGGAGCAAGGCCAAAUAGGGGUUCAUAAGGUACGGCCCGUACUGAACCCGGGUAGGCUGCUUGAGCCAGUGAGCGAUUGCUGGCCUAGAUGAAUGACUGUCCACGACAGAACCCGGCUUAUCGGUCAGUUUCACUC